Molecule: ribosomal RNA, 387 nt
Filed under: uncultured bacterium
Lineage: Bacteria
Description: bacterial SSU rRNA
Rfam family: Bacterial small subunit ribosomal RNA
Source: RNAcentral
GACGAACGCUGGCGGCGUGCUUAACACAUGCAAGUCGAGCGGUAAGGCCCUUUCGGGGGUACACGAGCGGCGAACGGGUGAGUAACACGUGGGUGACCUGCCCUCAGCUCUGGGAUAAGCCUGGGAAACCGGGUCUAAUACUGGAUAUGACUCCAUGACGCAUGUUGUGGGGUGGAAAGCCUUGUGCGGCUGAGGAUGGGCCCGCGGCCUAUCAGCUUGUUGGUGGGGUGANGGCCUACCAAGGCGACGACGGGUAGCCGGCCUGAGAGGGCGACCGGCCACACUGGGACUGAGACACGGCCCAGACUCCUACGGGAGGCAGCAGUGGGGAAUAUUGCGCAAUGGGCGGAAGCCUGACGCAGCGACGCCGCGUGGGGAUGACGGCCU